GUUUGGGGAUUNCGGCCGCAAGGGCUUAAAACUUCAAAAGGAAUUGACGGGGCCCGCACAAGCGCGGAGCAAUCGGAAUAAUUCGAUGCAACGCGAAAGAACCUUACCAAGGCUUGACAUACAACCAGAACACCCCUGGAGACAGGGGACUCUUUGGACACUGGUGUACAGUUGGUGCAUGGUUGUCGUCAGCUCGUGUCGUGAGAUGUUGGGUUAAGUCCCGCAACGAGCGCAACCCUCGUCGCAUGUUGCCAGCACGUCAUGGUGGGAACUCAUGUGAGACUGCCGGGGUCAACUCGGAGGAAGGUGGGGAUGACGUCAAAUCAUCAUGCCCCUUAUGUCUUGGGCUUCACGCAUGCUACAAUGGCCGGUACAAAGGGCUGCGAUGUCGUAAGGCGGAGCGAAUCCCAAAAAGCCGGUCUCAGUUCGGAUUGAGGUCUGCAACUCGACCUCAUGAAGUCGGAGUCGCUAGUAAUCGCAGAUCAGCAACGCUGGGGUGAAUACGUUCCCGGGCCUUGUACACACCGCCCGUCAAGUCAUGAAAGUCGGUAACACCCGAAGCCGGUGGCCUAACCCCUUGUGGGAGGGAGCCGUCGAAGGUGGGAUCGGUGAUUAGGACUAAGUCGUAACAAGUUACCCGUACGGGAAGGUGCGGCUGGAUCACCUUAAAUCAUCUGUUAUGCAUUCGCGAGUAC
RNAcentral lists this ribosomal RNA (695 nucleotides) under uncultured bacterium. RNAcentral describes it as "bacterial SSU rRNA". It matches the Rfam family "Bacterial small subunit ribosomal RNA", at positions 871 to 1533 of the family's 1533-position model. The record is from RNAcentral.